Molecule: ribosomal RNA, 835 nt
Filed under: Nematoda environmental sample
Lineage: Eukaryota; Metazoa; Nematoda
Description: SSU rRNA
Rfam family: Eukaryotic small subunit ribosomal RNA
Source: RNAcentral
UCGUGAAACCGCGAAUGGCUCAUUAUAACAGCUAUGAAUUUACUUGAUCUKUGAUUCAAUCCUACUUGGAUAACUGUGGUAAUUCUAGAGCUAAUACAUGCCUUAAGGCUCUGACCUCACGGGAAGAGUGCAUUUAUUAGAACAAAACCAAGCGGCUUCGGCUGUUUCUGGUUGACUCAUAGUAACUGAGCUGAUCGCACGGUCUUGCACCGGCGACGUGUCUUUCAAGUAUCUGCCGUAUCAACUUUCGAUGGUAGUGUAACUGACUACCAUGGUGAUCACGCGUAACGGAGAAUAAGGGUUCGGCUCCGGAGAGUUCGCCUGAGAAAUCGCGAACACAUCUAAGGAAGGCAGCAGGCGCGAAAAUUACCCACUCUCAGCACGAGGAGGUAGUGACGAAAAAUAACGAGGCCGUUCUCUUCUGAGGCCGGUCAUCGGAAUGGGUACAAUUUAAACCCUUUAACGAGUAUCUAUGAGAGGGCAAGUCUGGUGCCAGCAGCCGCGGUAAUUCCAGCUCUCAAAGUGCAUAGAAUUAUUGCUGCGGUUAAAAAGCUCGUAGUUGGAUCUGUGCCCUUGGACGGGGUCCACCUCCGGGUGCGUACUCCGCUCCUGGGCUUUUUGCUGGUUUUCCCGUCGUGGCCUUCACUGGUUGCGGCGGGUGGCUGGCGAGUUUACUUUGAGAAAAUCAGAGUGCUCAACACAGGCGUUUCGCUUGAAUGAUUGUGCAUGGAAUAAUAGAAAAGGAUUUCGGUCCUCUUUUAUUGGUUUUGUGGACUGAGAUAAUGGUUAACAGGGACAAACGGGGGCAUUCGUAUCGCUGCGUGAGAGGUGAAAU